RNAcentral lists this ribosomal RNA (253 nucleotides) under uncultured bacterium. RNAcentral's name for it is "partial 16S ribosomal RNA". It matches the Rfam family "Bacterial small subunit ribosomal RNA", at positions 524 to 776 of the family's 1533-position model. The record is from RNAcentral.
UACGGAGGGGGCUAGCGUUGUUCGGAAUCACUGGGCGUAAAGCGCACGUAGGCGGCUUUGUAAGUUAGAGGUGAAAGCCCAGGGCUCAACCCUGGAAUUGCCUUUAAGACUGCAUCGCUUGAACAUCGGAGAGGUAAGUGGAAUUCCGAGUGUAGAGGUGAAAUUCGUAGAUAUUCGGAAGAACACCAGUGGCGAAGGCGGCGACCUGGGCCAAUACUGACGCUGAGGUGCGAAAGCGUGGGGAGCAAACAGG